RNAcentral lists this ribosomal RNA (500 nucleotides) under uncultured bacterium. RNAcentral's name for it is "partial 16S ribosomal RNA". It matches the Rfam family "Bacterial small subunit ribosomal RNA", at positions 30 to 523 of the family's 1533-position model. The record is from RNAcentral.
AUUGAACGCUGGCGGCAUGCCUUACACAUGCAAGUCGAACGGCAGCGGGGACUUCGGUCCGCCGGCGAGUGGCGAACGGGUGAGUAAUGUAUCGGAACGUACCUUUCAGUGGGGGAUAACGUAGCGAAAGUUACGCUAAUACCGCAUAUUCUCUGAGGAGGAAAGCAGGGGACCUUCGGGCCUUGCGCUGAUGGAGCGGCCGAUAUCAGAUUAGCUAGUUGGUGGGGUAAAGGCUCACCAAGGCUACGAUCUGUAGCGGGUCUGAGAGGAUGAUCCGCCACACUGGGACUGAGACACGGCCCAGACCCCUACGGGAGGCAGCAGUGGGGAAUUUUGGACAAUGGGCGAAAGCCUGAUCCAGCCAUGCCGCGUGAGUGAAGAAGGCCUUCGGGUUGUAAAGCUCUUUCGGACGGGAAGAAAUCAUGAGGGCUAAUAUCCCUUGUGGAUGACGGUACCGUAAUAAGAAGCACCGGCUAACUACGUGCCAGCCGCCGCAGUAA